GGUUCAGAUACCAUGCAUGUCUAGUAUAAAUAGUAUACAGUGAAACUGCGAAUGGCUCAUUAAAACAGUUAUAGUUUAUUUGAUAAUGGAAAGCUACAUGGAUAACCGUGGUAAUUCUAGAGCUAAUACAUGCUGUCAAGCCCGACUUCUCGGAAGGGCUGUAUUUAUUAGAUAUCAAGCCAAUAUUCCUUCGGGUCUAUUGUGGUGAAUCAUAGUAACUGAUCGAAUCCUUUUUUAAGAUAAAUCAUUCAAUUUUCUGCCCUAUCAUCUUUCUAUGGUAGUGUAGUGGACUACCGUGGUUUUAACGGGUACAGAAAAUUAGGGUUCGGUUCCAGAGAGGGAGCCUGAAAAACGGCUACCACAUCUAAAGAAGGCAGCAGUGGUGAAAAUUACCCAAUCCUGAUUCAGGGAGGUAGUGACAAGAAAUAGAAAUCUGGGCCUCUUUCGAGGUUACGGAAUUUAAAUGAAAAUUUUUAAAAGACUUAUCGAGGAACAA
This 496-nucleotide ribosomal RNA is filed under the name uncultured eukaryote. RNAcentral's name for it is "SSU rRNA". It matches the Rfam family "Eukaryotic small subunit ribosomal RNA", at positions 42 to 547 of the family's 1831-position model. The record is from RNAcentral.